CGACCCUCAGGCCCAGCCUGGUGUUGGGGACCCCCGCGGCGCUUCGAGCUGCGGGAGCCCUGAAAGCCAUCGGCGGUGCCUGCCAGCACUCCGGGCGCAGUAGAAUACACCUCGCCCUGGACGUCUGGCGGCGCGCCUGCCGCUAAACGCAAGCCCACCUACCCGCCGCAAGGCGAGUGGCGAGCGAACGCAGAAAAGG
RNAcentral lists this unclassified non-coding RNA (199 nucleotides) under uncultured Sordariales. RNAcentral's name for it is "sequence contains ITS2". Lineage: Eukaryota; Fungi; Ascomycota; Sordariomycetes; Sordariales. The record is from RNAcentral.